This 253-nucleotide ribosomal RNA is filed under the name uncultured bacterium. RNAcentral describes it as "partial 16S ribosomal RNA". It matches the Rfam family "Bacterial small subunit ribosomal RNA", at positions 524 to 776 of the family's 1533-position model. The record is from RNAcentral.
UACAGAGGGGGCAAGCGUUAUUCGGAAUUAUUGGGCGUAAAGGGCGCGUAGGCGGCCUGGCAAGUGGAAGGUGAAAUCCCUCGGCUUAACCGAGGAACUGCCCUCCAAACUGCUUGGCUUGAGUCCGGGAGAGGUGAGUGGAAUUCCCGGUGUAGUGGUGGAAUGCGUAGAUAUCGGGAGGAACACCAGUGGCGAAGGCGGUUACCUGGAGCUUUGCUGACGCUGAUGCGCGAAAGCGUGGGGAGCGAUCCGG